CUUACACAGGCCAUGCAGAGAUGAGCAGGGCUGCCAUGGAAACCCAAGAACCACAGGGCUGAUGGAAAAGUCAAUGACUACCCAAGGUGGUUACCAACACAUAAACCUGUGGAUAAACUGCAGAAAGUUAUCUGAUGUUGUUCCUUGGAAAGAACCCUCAAAUUUCAAUUUGGUGACAUUUUGAGUUGGCGGUUAAUCAACUUUUAGUUAUUGGAAGAAAAAGCACCAGAAAGGCCCACCUUGCUGAAACACAAGCCCUGUUCCUGCAAUUCAGAAGCAAGCCUUGCAAGGCCACCUAACUCUGCUGUGCUUCUCGUCACAUUUGAAGGGCAAAUUUUUGGUACAGCUUAAACUAAGAUCCUAAAAGUGGAGGUGGGAGUGGGUCGAUGGGAUGGCCAACCGCAAGUUGUAGAGCAACCCCUUUAAAGAGUAACCACUCUUAAGAUGGUCAUCUUGCAACCCAGACUGAAUAUCUCCCAAAGCAGUGGCAAAUAGGCAGCUACUGCUCCUUCUGCCCAACAUUCCCUCUUGGGACCUGUAAUAGGGAUGUGCACUGAACCGGUCUGGAGGCCCUUUAUGGGCCUCUGAACUGGUUCAAAGAACCGGUGGUUCUGCCAGUUUGAUGGCAGUGUGGG
Molecule: long non-coding RNA, 635 nt
Organism: Hemicordylus capensis (graceful crag lizard)
Lineage: Eukaryota; Metazoa; Chordata; Lepidosauria; Squamata; Cordylidae
Exons: 3
Source: RefSeq, a predicted model, not a curated record